This is a long non-coding RNA of Triticum aestivum (bread wheat), 2375 nucleotides long. RefSeq lists it as uncharacterized. The record is from RefSeq and is a predicted model, not a curated record. The transcript has 4 exons. Lineage: Eukaryota; Viridiplantae; Streptophyta; Magnoliopsida; Poales; Poaceae.
GUUCAGCCGCGUGUCAGUGCGUUUUCGUGUGAGGCGAGUUGUUCGGUGAAGGAAGGAGGGGGCGGAGAGGGAGGUAGGAAAUGGUGGGGGCAAUCAUGGCGAGAAAGCCUGGUCAUGGGGGCGGAAGCAGCAUUCGCCGCCGGCGAGACAGUAGACGUGCGCCACACCUCCCCCCGUCUCCACACCUCCCCCACACCUCCCCCAUCGUGUGGUUUUUGGUCCAAUUAGUGGAUCGGCCGGUAGGCUGUUUGUUGGUUUUGAUUUCAGCACCAUGGUCUGUACUUUUUCUUCAGCUAGGCUUUCAGAUCUAGUUUUGCUGUAGAGGUUUUCUCUUCUGCGGUGAGAUCUUAUGCAGAACAAUUUUGGGGACGAUUGUGUGGGUGUUCUACUCGCAGAGCAUUUGCCUGGUGAAAUUUGUUAAUUUUGAGCAAUGUCUGGUGUGUCUUUUCUGGCGAAAUUAAGUGAAGACGAACUCACUAAACCGUACUGUGCCAUAGACCAUAGUUAUUGUGGCUGCAUCGUUUAUUGUUCUCAUUGGCUGCUGGAUAUGUCUUGUACUGCCUGAAUUUUUAGCAUAGAAGGGCAAGCAAUGGUUUCAGCACUGCAUUAUGGUGUGCAAGGUUCCUGGUGUUUGUCAUGCCUGAUCUUCUGUCAUUCUUUGUUUUCAGUAUCUUUUGGUUCUCUCUUAUAUCUCUGACUUAAGUCUUUCAUUUCCACUUUUGUGUUUAGUUGUCAUGUACUUUUAGCAAGUUCGGAUUCUCUACACAUUGUGUAUUCAGCUUGUACUUUUGCUGAGCUAUUUGGUGUGAAUUAUCAACUUGGCCUUUUUUAUGUCUACCUUUCUACUAAAUUCUAUUUUCUUUCCAUCAGAUUUUUGUUGAUUUAUUUUUGUGUGCUGGCUCAGUUCUAAGUCUGAUGUCCCAACUUGCAGUUUGAUUCAGAAAGUUCGCCACUUUUGCCUGACACAAUUGGUGUUGCUGUUGAUACGGGUCCUGCAAUGCUUGCUUGCACAUAGAUUUCUAAUGGUUGAUGUUUUUUCCGUAUCCGUGAGAAGUUGCUUUCAAUUUAUCUUCAUUGCAAGUCAUGCAUGAUAUGUGCUGCAGAUAGUAAUCAUACUGCAGUUUCUGAGAUCAGCUGCCAUUGUUCAGCUGAAGAUGAUGUUUGUUGACAAAUAACUCAAUCUAUUUGCGCCAAUCACAAGACUGAAAGGAGACCAUGCUACCCAAGUUUCAAUGUGGAUGUAGUGGCAGAAGAAACGCGUUUGUGGAGGGAUAUUUCAGCUGAACCAUAUUUGAAUCAAGCAUUGCAAGCUGUAACUCUCAAGGCCAAUCCCAGUUCAUCCAAAUUCCUCACACUAUGGUAUGGUAGUGUGCUUUCUUGCAUGAACAUUGCCGUCUCAAGCCAACCAUACAGCUCAGCAGGAUCGGAGAAUUGAUAAUCUAAGUGUACAUCGAUCAGACUACCAGUAACAAGAGCUUUUGUUAUUAGUAUAUACCUGGAGAAACCCAAAAGCCUUGCUGCCUCAGUAUGCGGAACCGAAGGGCGACAUCAUGAAGGCUAGAGCUAUUGAAUUCACCAGCAUGAGUGCUUCUUAAUGUGGAGUCAAUUUGUUCAUGAAAAUGUUGAUCUACGCUCAGGUGUUGGAGUGUGUCUACAAGCUAGGCGAGCCAAUAAACAGAAUCCAGGCAUAUCUCAACAAGGGCUCCAGACCAGCAGGUAACUUUCGGUUAGGCCAUGAAACAACUGGGAUUUCACACAUAAAACCGAAAGAAAAACAUGGAGAGACUGAAAAUGCACUGCUCCCAGAUGCUGUUAUUACUACUGUAGCAAGAUGAAGCAUGCCUGUAACGGUUCUGGAUUAUAGUUGAUGAAGAAGUCGCCCCACACUGUGGGAUGAAACACAGGCGCCACCUCUGGCACGGCGGCGGCGGGGGCGGCGGUGGCGGUGGUGAUGGCAUCAUGGGACGCCAUGUGAAAAUGUGUUGCCUGGUAACUGGUGUAGUGGUGUGGCUUUGAGAAAACCUGGAACGGCCGACGGCCUUAUAUACACAGCAUGGCUGCGCGGGAGCACUCAUCCAGGAAAGUGCGUCUUUGAACAGGGAAGGGCACCAUCUAAUGUUUUCUGUACAAAGAAUAGUCAGCUAAAACGACACCUCUGACCCAACUUAAUUCGCGUCUCCAUUGGGAGAACAAGCUGAACUGUCAAUCACGCGAAGACCCACGCGCAGCCGUCUGUUUUCCGAGUAGCUUUGUUUUUUGGACGCGUCUAGCAGGCGGCUGGGCGCCCGCUAGCGUGCCUGGGCGGUCUGUUUUUUUUCAAAUAAUGCACGUGAUGCUCCUGUGGUUAAAAAGACACGGUUAAUUAAUCAUCCCUA